ACGCACGCUGGCGGCGUGCUUAACCCAUGCAAGUCGCACGGAAAGGCCCUGCUUUUGUGGGGUGCUCGAGUGGCGAACGGGUGAGUAACACGUGAGUAACCUGCCCUUGACUUUGGGAUAACUUCAGGAAACUGGGGCUAAUACCGGAUAGGAGCUCCUGCUGCAUGGUGGGGGUUGGAAAGUUUCGGCGGUUGGGGAUGGACUCGCGGCUUAUCAGCUUGUUGGUGGGGUAGUGGCUUACCAAGGCUUUGACGGGUAGCCGGCCUGAGAGGGUGACCGGCCACAUUGGGACUGAGAUACGGCCCAGACUCCUACGGGAGGCAGCAGUGGGGAAUAUUGCACAAUGGGCGGAAGCCUGAUGCAGCAACGCCGCGUGCGGGAUGACGGCCUUCGGGUGGUAAACCGCUUUCGCCUGUGACGAAGCGUGAGUGACGGUAAUGGGGAAAGAAGCACCGGCUAACUACGU
Molecule: ribosomal RNA, 466 nt
Filed under: uncultured bacterium
Lineage: Bacteria
Description: partial 16S ribosomal RNA
Rfam family: Bacterial small subunit ribosomal RNA
Source: RNAcentral